Molecule: ribosomal RNA, 257 nt
Filed under: uncultured bacterium
Lineage: Bacteria
Description: partial 16S ribosomal RNA
Rfam family: Bacterial small subunit ribosomal RNA
Source: RNAcentral
UACGUAGGGUGCAAGCGUUGUCCGGAAUUAUUGGGCGUAAAGAGCUCGUAGGCGGUCUGUCGCGUCUGCUGUGAAAACUCAGGGCUUAACCCUGAGCUUGCAGUGGGUACGGGCAGACUAGAGUGCGGUAGGGGAGACUGGAAUUCCUGGUGUAGCGGUGAAAUGCGCAGAUAUCAGGAGGGAACACCGGUGGGCGAAGGCGGGUCUCUGGGCCGUAACUGACGCUGGAGGAAGCGAAAGCGUGGGGAGCAAACAGG